Molecule: long non-coding RNA, 207 nt
Filed under: Chinchilla lanigera (long-tailed chinchilla)
Lineage: Eukaryota; Metazoa; Chordata; Mammalia; Rodentia; Chinchillidae
Description: lncRNA (ENSCLAG00000029078.1)
Source: RNAcentral
AGGGUUUCCUGAGAAUCCAACUAUUGGAAGUCCAGGCUCCUCACGUCACAUGAACUUCACAGUACAUCAAAGAUCCUUAGAAUCUACAGAAACUUAGCAACUACAAGUAAAUAUUUCCAUCAGAUGACCAGCUUAAAAGUAAAGGGCACACAGCUUUUGCAGGAUACAUCUUGUGUUCAUCCAAUUUCCACGGUUGGGCCCUGGGUA